GGUUUUCUAUAGCACCGACGGCAGGGGGCCACGUGGGGAUUUGAGCGACAAGGAAACGUGACGAGGUGGGGCCCGCGAUCUCGGCCAAUGGAGCGGGCCCGGCCGGACCGGCCCCGGUUCGUGCGGCCGCCUGUCGUGCCUGCCCUCUCCCGUCUCCUUCUCCUUGUCGUCUUCUUUCCUCCCUCUCGCCAAUAAUACAUAUGGG
Molecule: long non-coding RNA, 205 nt
Filed under: Musa acuminata (dwarf banana)
Lineage: Eukaryota; Viridiplantae; Streptophyta; Magnoliopsida; Zingiberales; Musaceae
Description: long non-coding RNA (MACU_LNC002335)
Source: RNAcentral